This 253-nucleotide ribosomal RNA is filed under the name uncultured bacterium. Its description in RNAcentral is "partial 16S ribosomal RNA". It matches the Rfam family "Bacterial small subunit ribosomal RNA", at positions 524 to 776 of the family's 1533-position model. The record is from RNAcentral.
GACGUGGGGGGCCAGCGUUGCUCGGAAUUACUGGGUGUAAAGGGUUCGUAGGCGGUGUGGCAAGUCGGAGGUGAAAUCUCUGGGCUUAACCCAGAGACUGCCCCCGAAACUGCCGUGCUUGAGUGUGGGAGAGGCGCGUGGAAUUGCAGGUGUAGCGGUGAAAUGCGUAGAUAUCUGCAGGAACACCCGGGGCGAAAGCGGCGCGCUGGACCACAACUGACGCUGAGGAACGAAAGCUAGGGGAGCAAACAGG